CUCGAUUGAACGCUGGCGGCGUGCUUAACACAUGCAAGUCGCGCGUGAAAGGACUUCGGUCCGAGUAAAGCGGCGCAGGGUGAGUAACGCGUGGAUGAUCUACCCAUGAGUUAGGAAUAACGACUGGAAACGGCGCUAAUACCGAAUACGCUCCGAUUUCAACUUCGGGGGAAAGGUGGCCUCUGCUUCAAGCUACUGCUCAUGGAUGAGUCCGCGUCCCAUUAGCUAGUUGGUGGGGUAACGGCCCACCAAGGCGACGAUGGGUAGCCGGUCUGAGAGGAUGACCGGCCACACUGGGACUGGAACACGGCCCAGACUCCUACGGGAGGCAGCAGUGGGGAAUAUUGCGCAAUGGCGAAAGCCUGACGCAGCGACGCCGCGUGAGGGAUGAAGGUCCUCGGAUCGUAAACCUCUGUCAGGAGGGAAGAACCGCCACGGUGCUAAUCAGCCGUGGUCUGACGGUACUCCAAAGGAAGCACCGGCUAACUCCGUGCCAGCAGCCGCGGUAAUACGGAGGGUCGAGCGUUAAUCGGAAUCACUGGGCGUAAAGCGCACGUAGGCUGCUUGGUAAGUCAGGGGUGAAAGCCCGCGGCUCAACCGCGGAAUUGCCUUUGAUACUGCCGAGCUAGAGUCCGGGAGAGGGUAGUGGAAUUCCAGGUGUAGGAGUGAAAUCCGUAGAGAUCUGGAGGAACAUCAGUGGCGAAGGCGACUACCUGGACACGGUACUGACGCUGAGUGGC
RNAcentral lists this ribosomal RNA (740 nucleotides) under Nitratidesulfovibrio vulgaris. Its description in RNAcentral is "bacterial SSU rRNA". It matches the Rfam family "Bacterial small subunit ribosomal RNA", at positions 24 to 754 of the family's 1533-position model. The record is from RNAcentral. Lineage: Bacteria; Pseudomonadati; Thermodesulfobacteriota; Desulfovibrionia; Desulfovibrionales; Desulfovibrionaceae.